AGAGCAGAAAAACAGGAUGUUCUGUAGAUAAGAGAAACACAUCACAUCCUGCCAGCGAAAAAAGACUCUAUCCAUCUACAUCCCAGAGAGAAGUCGAAGAAGAAAAGGCACCAACACCAGAGGAUGAGGAAACUGGAAAAGUUUUGAGAAGUCCGGAAACAGCCAGCCCUGAAGAGGCAGCAGUCAGGUGAGGAGAAUGCACCACCCAAAGCCAC
Molecule: long non-coding RNA, 215 nt
Filed under: Fukomys damarensis (Damara mole-rat)
Lineage: Eukaryota; Metazoa; Chordata; Mammalia; Rodentia; Bathyergidae
Description: lncRNA (ENSFDAG00000033524.1)
Source: RNAcentral